GCGGAGCAUGUUGUUUAAUUCGAAGCAACGCGAAGAACCUUACCAGGACUUGACAUCCUCAGAAUCUGUGAGAGAUACGGAAGUGCCUUGGGAACUGAGUGACAGGUGGUGCAUGGUUGUCGUCAGCUCGUGUCGUGAGAUGUUGGGUUAGUCCCGCAACGAGCGCAACCCCUAUGUUUAGUUGCCAGCAUUAAGUUGGGGACUCUAGACAGACUGCCGGUGAUAAACCGGAGGAAGGUGGGGACGACGUCAAAUCAUCAUGCUCCUUAUGUCCUGGGCUACAAACGUGCUACAAUGGCCAUUACAGAGGGCAGCCACUCCGCGAGGAGGAGCGAAACCCAAAGGUGGUCUCAGUUCGGAUUGGGGGCUGCAACCCGCCCCCAUGAAGUUGGAGUUGCUAGUAAUCGCGAAUCAGCAUGUCGCGGUGAAUGCGUUCCCGGGGAUUGUACACACCGCCCGUCACACCAUGGAAGUUAGUAGCACCCGAAGUCAGUGACCUAACCGCAAGGAAGGAGCUGCCUAAGGUGAGACUAGUGACUAGGGUGAAGUCGUAACAAGGUAGCCGUAUCGGAAGGUGCGGCUGGAUCACCUCCUUU
This 596-nucleotide ribosomal RNA is filed under the name uncultured bacterium. RNAcentral's name for it is "bacterial SSU rRNA". It matches the Rfam family "Bacterial small subunit ribosomal RNA", at positions 932 to 1533 of the family's 1533-position model. The record is from RNAcentral.